CAGGAGUCGAAAGUGAAUGACAAUUUGGAAAGCAGCAAGCCAGAAGAAUCUAGGAGGCCUUAAAGAAGAUUGAUAGGAAAAUCAAUGCCUUAUAAAAGCCAGGUUGCACAGUGAAAAAUGAUAGUAAUCUUCUACAACCGAGAAACACAACAUGGGGCAAUUGCCUGGGGCCUCUCCCAGGCAGAUAAGCUUGUCUUUGAGAAAAUUGGCAUUAGUGAUUGUGUGAAAAAGCCAAAACAACAGGGAAAUUCAAUCAAAUGCUUAGAGGAGAGAGUAGGAAGCAGCAAAAAUUAACAACAAUC
Molecule: long non-coding RNA, 302 nt
Organism: Hemicordylus capensis (graceful crag lizard)
Lineage: Eukaryota; Metazoa; Chordata; Lepidosauria; Squamata; Cordylidae
Exons: 3
Source: RefSeq, a predicted model, not a curated record